AGUGAACGCUGGCGGUAGGCCUAACACAUGCAAGUCGAACGGCAGCACAGUAAGAGCUUGCUCUUACGGGUGGCGAGUGGCGGACGGGUGAGGAAUACAUCGGAAUCUACUUUUUCGUGGGGGAUAACGUAGGGAAACUUACGCUAAUACCGCAUACGACCUACGGUUGAAAGCAUGGGAUCUUCUGACCUUGCGCGAUUGAAUUAGCCGAUGUCGGAUUAGCUAGUUGGCGGGGUAAAGGCCCACCAAGGCGACGAUCCGUAGCUGGUCUGAGAGGAUGAUCAGCAACACUGGAACUGAGACACGGUCCAGACUCCUACGGGAGGCAGCAGUGGGGAAUAUUGGACAAUGGGCGCAAGCCUGAUCCAGCCAUACCGCGUGGGUGAAGAAGGCCUUCGGGUUGUAAAGCCCUUUUGUUGGGAAAGAAAAGCAGCAGGUUAAUACCCCGCUGUUCUGACGGUACCCAAAGAAUAAGCACCGGCUAACUUCGUG
Molecule: ribosomal RNA, 492 nt
Filed under: uncultured bacterium
Lineage: Bacteria
Description: partial 16S ribosomal RNA
Rfam family: Bacterial small subunit ribosomal RNA
Source: RNAcentral